RNAcentral lists this ribosomal RNA (393 nucleotides) under uncultured bacterium. RNAcentral's name for it is "partial 16S ribosomal RNA". It matches the Rfam family "Bacterial small subunit ribosomal RNA", at positions 523 to 918 of the family's 1533-position model. The record is from RNAcentral.
AUACGGAGGAUGCAAGCGUUAUCCGGAUUUAUUGGGUUUAAAGGGAGCGUAGGUGGACAGUUAAGUCAGUUGUGAAAGUUUGCGGCUCAACCGUAAAAUUGCAGUUGAUACUGGCUGUCUUGAGUACAGUAGAGGUGGGCGGAAUUCGUGGUGUAGCGGUGAAAUGCUUAGAUAUCACGAAGAACUCCGAUUGCGAAGGCAGCUCACUGGACUGCAACUAACACUGAUGCUCGAAAGUGUGGGUAUCAAACAGGAUUAGAUACCCUGGUAGUCCACACAGUAAACGAUGAAUACUCGCUGUUUGCGAUAUACAGUAAGCGGCCAAGCGAAAGCAUUAAGUAUUCCACCUGGGGAGUACGCCGGCAACGGUGAAACUCAAAGGAAUUGACGGGG